Molecule: ribosomal RNA, 505 nt
Filed under: uncultured bacterium
Lineage: Bacteria
Description: partial 16S ribosomal RNA
Rfam family: Bacterial small subunit ribosomal RNA
Source: RNAcentral
GACGAACGCUGGCGGCGUGCCUAAUACAUGCAAGUAGAGCGCACAGUUUAUACCGUAGCUUGCUACACCAUAGACUGUGAGUUGCGAACGGGUGAGUAACGCGUAGGUAACCUGCCUGGUAGCGGGGGAUAACUAUUGGAAACGAUAGCUAAUACCGCAUAAUAUUAAUUAUUGCAUGAUAAUUAAUUGAAAGGUGCAAUUGCACCACUACCAGAUGGACCUGCGUUGUAUUAGCUAGUAGGUGAGGUAACGGCUCACCUAGGCGACGAUACAUAGCCGACCUGAGAGGGUGAUCGGCCACACUGGGACUGAGACACGGCCCAGACUCCUACGGGAGGAAGCAGUAGGGAAUCUUCGGCAAUGGACGAAAGUCUGACCGAGCAACGCCGCGUGAGUGAAGAAGGUUUUCGGAUCGUAAAGCUCUGUUGUAAGAGAAGAACGGGUGUGAGAGUGGAAAGUUCACACUGUGACGGUAUCUUACCAGAAAGGGACGGCUAACUACGUG